Molecule: long non-coding RNA, 601 nt
Organism: Myotis brandtii (Brandt's bat)
Lineage: Eukaryota; Metazoa; Chordata; Mammalia; Chiroptera; Vespertilionidae
Exons: 3
Source: RefSeq, a predicted model, not a curated record
GGAACGGCCUAGGGACCUGGUGCUCCGUGCAGACUUGUUCGCACCACUGGGGAGCUCACACCCUGGUGGGAAACUUGCAGUCUGCUCAAGUUUUGUACUUCUUCCCCCACCCUCAUGCUGUCCUAAUUGAAGGCUACUUUUUGAAGAUGGUACUUCCUCCAGGACUUUACAGACCUUCUUCCCCCGUCAAGCCUAAGUUAGAGACUGCUUCUGAUCCACAGGAACCUACACUUUUCCACUGACGAUGAGUUGGUCUCUAUAAACUCUUCUCGCCUGUUUAUUCUGAUGACAUCAGUUACCAUGCUGUGAGGUGCCCAGUGGAGAGGCCCAUGUGGCAAGAAACUGAAGGAGGCCUCAGGCCAAAAGCCAGUUAAAGAAAUGAGGCCCUCAGCCCAACAGCCUGUGAGAAACUAAAUCUUCCAAUACCCCUUAAGUGCACCUGAAAGCAGAUCCUCCUAAGUGGAGUUGUGAGGUGACUGCAGCCCCAGCCAACAACUGACCAUGACCUGUGAGAGAUCCUGAGCCAGAGGGCUCAGUUAAGCCGCUGGAUUUCUGACCACAGAAAAUGUGUGACAAUAAAUAUUUGUUGUUUUGCCCUAAA